Schistosoma curassoni is the source of this 45-nucleotide non-coding RNA. The record is from Rfam. NCBI's taxonomy places the organism in Eukaryota, Metazoa, Platyhelminthes, Trematoda, Strigeidida, Schistosomatidae.
AUCUAACUGACGAGUCCCAAAUAGGACGAAACGCGUGUCCUGGAU